RNAcentral lists this long non-coding RNA (2308 nucleotides) under Homo sapiens (human). RNAcentral's name for it is "HSALNT0372029". Lineage: Eukaryota; Metazoa; Chordata; Mammalia; Primates; Hominidae. The record is from RNAcentral.
AAACCCCCACCCUUUUCUGCCUGGCAGAUGGAAAAUUGAAAGUGUCUCUGAGGGCAGCCAAUCAGACGUUUACAUAGGAUUGUAACUUUGUAACUUCACUUCAGCCUCUGAUUGGUCGCUUCCCACAACCAAUCAGCUUGAUUGUGGGCCAAGUCUUCCUUUGCAUAGAACUGUAACUUUGUAACUUCACUUUGCAAACAGAGGCUUGCAUCGGGUGUAACCUUUGUAACUUCACCUCAGCCUCUGGUUGCAGGUCACUACUUCAUUUACAUAGAGUGUACACCAGGUAACCAAUGGGAAACCUCUAGAAGGUAUUUAAACCCCAGAAAAUUCUGUAAAAAGAGCCCCUAUGCUCCAGCGGCUCCCACCCUGUGGAGCGUACUUUCAUUUUCGAUAAAUCUCUCCUUUUGUUGCUUCCUUCUUUCCUUGCUUUGUUUGUGCGUUUUGUUCAAUUCUUUGCUCAAAACGCCAACAACCUGGACCCCUCCACAUUUCCUUGUAUGAGUUUAAGCGGAGGAAACCUCUCUUAUGCAGGCUCAAGUGGACUGGCCCCCUUUUGACUGGUUGCUGGUAGUCUCCUAUUUUUUCAGGAAAACUGGCCCUGGUGGGGGAUUUUCCUGUUUUGUUUAAGUUUCAGUUUGAUUACGUGGCACUUAGCACAAGUGAUUCCAUUUUGGUCUGGCCUACUGGGGCCUAGUGCAGGAGCUCAGCCCAAUUCAAUGGCCUCCCAUAAAUCUUAUUUAACACUUAGCACCACUGUGCACAUGUGGAAGGUAAAACUCAGAGACGCUAAGUAUCUGAGUGUGUCACAGAGCUAGUAAAAGGCAGAGCUGGGAUCAGAUACAUUGAUUCAUUCACUCAAAAACCUUUUUUUAUCGAGUGCAUACUAUGUAUCAGCCUCUGGGUACUGAGCAUGGGAGCAGAAUCAGACACCCCGAACUGACAGGGCUCACAGACGAGAAGGGGAGACAGUUCUCAAUCAUAGAAAUCACUUGUUCUCACAAACGGUGACACGUGCUAUGAAGAAAAAGGCCUGAGAACUAGGAGGGCAUCUAGAGGCGCCCUUUCUGGUCUAGGCGUCCUACAGGCAGCUGGAGGAAGACGUCUGAGCUGACAUCAGAUUCAUGGGGUGGACUCCUAGGAGCGGGAUGGCUGGGUGAAGGAUAUGAACUCUGUUAAGGGUUUUGAUGCAUAUUGCCAAACCACUUUCCAAAAAGCCCGUGAUGAUUCCUCCCCGAUCGGCAGCUCACAGGUGCACCUUUCCCCACGCAGGAGGACUUCUCACCUAACUUUACUCAGGCGUUAACAUCUGAGCUUUUUCUGACUCAAUUCCUGUUAAAUGUCUAUAACUGCGGGGGAGUCUUCCAGUUCUACAGAUGCAUGGAAUCUGCGUUGUGUGGUGAGGAGAGGCAGCUGAUGGACCCACCCUGCCUGGAAGAACAGCACCGUGGGGAAGCGCAAAGGGCUGGGCGCCAGUGACCCCUCCACAGACUAUUUUGGAAGAAAUAUGGGUCCAAAUGAACUGCCCUGUGACAACUGAAGUGCCAGCUUCUAGGACAGCCUCAAAAGGGAAAUCGAGUUGUCACCACUCUUCUCCCUUUCACCAGCAAAGUUCUCAGAAGGGGGCACCGUUUCUUCCUCGAGCUCCUGGUCUGUGUUUUGAACUCAGCGUCAAGGUUGGCCCCAGUGCACCUGACACAGGCACCCCCUCAUUGUCCCCCGACCUCACGGCAGUGCAUUUACCGACCUCCAGGCCCUGGCAGUGCCUUCUUUGUCUCUUCCUCUUUUGCUUCUCCUUCAGUGUGGGCACUCCCAGAAGUUCUGUCCUUUGUUCUUUCCCCUUUAGGCAUCGUCCUUCAGAGAUCCUGUCCACCUCUGGGUCCGCGUCUCUUUGUGAUCAACUCCAGCCUCUUCCCUCCUUCCCAUGAGCUCUGCAUUGCACCUGGGUCCACCUGGACCCCAGCCACGGUGAGCAGCUGGACUGAGGACGGGCCACACCCUGGGCCUGCUCCUGACCAUGCUCCUUCCAUUUGUGGGAUAUUUCAUCACCCCAAACUCAAAACCCCAGAAUAACCCGUGCACUUCUCCCUUGUCUGCUGUCCCAAAUCCCUUUGUUCUUCCAUCCUAGCACCUCCUCCAGUGGCCCUUCCUUUCAGUUUCUGCCACCGGCUCCCUGGGCUGUCCCCUGCACUCUCUGGGCAGGCUGGCCCCCACUCAGCCUAUCUUGAACACAACUGCUCAGACUCAUGCUUUAAAGCCCCCUCUUGAAGUCACUCACCUAAUUGAAAGCCACCUGUGAGUUCCUGCU